Non-coding RNA from Trichonephila clavata, 93 nucleotides. The record is from the annotation of a GenBank genome assembly. NCBI's taxonomy places the organism in Eukaryota, Metazoa, Arthropoda, Arachnida, Araneae, Nephilidae.
CGCUUGCAUGCAUUGGUUCUUGUCCGAUCACUGAAAUUAAGCAUCAUCGAGCGUGGUCAAUACUUGGGAGGGUGACCACCUGGGAACACCGCG